This 892-nucleotide ribosomal RNA is filed under the name uncultured bacterium. Its description in RNAcentral is "bacterial SSU rRNA". It matches the Rfam family "Bacterial small subunit ribosomal RNA", at positions 8 to 916 of the family's 1533-position model. The record is from RNAcentral.
AGAGUUUGAUCAUGGCUCAGGAUGAACGCUGGCGGCGUGCUUAAUACAUGCAAGUCGAACGGAGGUAUGUAGCAAUAUAUAUCUUAGUGGCGAACGGGUGAGUAACGCGUUGGUGACCUACCCCAGAGAGGGGGAUAACAGCUCGAAAGGGCUGCUAAUACCCCAUGAGAUCAUGGUAGUUAGAGAGCUAUGAUGAAAGGUGCAAACCGCUCUGGGAGGGGCCUGCGUCCCAUCAGCUAGUUGGUAGGGUAACGGCCUACCAAGGCGACGACGGGUAGGGGGCCUGAGAGGGUGAUCCCCCACACUGGCACUGAAACACGGGCCAGACACCUACGGGUGGCAGCAGUAGGGAAUAUUGCACAAUGGGCGCAAGCCUGAUGCAGCAACGCCGCGUGCGCGAUGAAGGCCUUCGGGUCGUAAAGCGCUUUUCGGGGAGAUGAGGAAGGACAGUAUCCUCGGAAGAAGGAUCGGCUAACUACGUGCCAGCAGCCGCGGUAAAACGUAGGAUCCGAGCGUUAUCCGAAUUCACUGGGCGUAAAGCGCGUGCAGGCGGUUCGGUAAGUUGGAUGUGAAAUCUCCCGGCUCAACUGGGAGGGGACGUUCAAUACUGUCGGACUCGAGGACGGUAGAGGGAGGUGGAAUUCCCGGUGUAGUGGUGAAAUGCGUAGAUAUCGGGAGGAACACCAGUGGCGAAGGCGGCCUCCUGGACCGUACCUGACGCUCAGACGCGAAAGCUAGGGGAGCGAACGGGAUUAGAAACCCCGGUAGUCCUAGCCGUAAACGAUGUAGACUUGGUGUCGGGGGUGUAAAAACCGUCGGUGCCGAAGCAAACGCGAUAAGUCUACCGCCUGGGGACUACGGCCGCAAGGUUAAAACUUAAAUGAAUUGACGG